Siniperca chuatsi (mandarin fish) is the source of this 616-nucleotide long non-coding RNA. RefSeq lists it as uncharacterized. The record is from RefSeq and is a predicted model, not a curated record. The transcript has 2 exons. Lineage: Eukaryota; Metazoa; Chordata; Actinopteri; Centrarchiformes; Sinipercidae.
GUUUCAUUUUGUGAUUUGUGUUAUAUUAUUAUUAUCAUUAUUUUAAUUAUUAUUAUUGUUGUCAUUGAGCUCUAGCUCUGACAAUCAUCAAGAAGGAGGGUAUAAAGCCAGGAAGGUCUGCCUGAAAGGCUAAACUUAGGGAAUGAACGUACCUAGUUUCUAACUGUCAUAGUAGGCUGUACCAUUCCUAGUGUUCCUGUGUGUCUGUCCCCUGUUAGUCUCCUUGUGUGUGUGUGUGUGUGUGUGUAUGCUGUGGUUACUUGGUAAGUUACUGCCAAUCAGCAACUGACACACCUGCGAACCAUCUACUGCUGCUCACCUGUUCUCCAUCCACAGUCACAUCUGACAGUAUAUCUACCCGGCUCUUCCCACCAGUCUUCGCCAGCUCGUCCGUUUACCUCAGUGGUUCGCUCGUGUCACCUGCUCCCGCGUUGCCCACCGGCUUUCCAGGAGGACUUCACCACAGCUCUCACCUGACUUGCCUCGGACCGCAUUCCUGCCUCAGCCUGCCUGCUCUCCUCAGCCUCUGUCUCCAGCCCACCGGCUUCCAGCCUUACCCCCGCACUCCUGGUUCCUCAUGGUGUGUUCUUGUAAAUAAACGGAACCUACUACUGCA